UGGGGAAUAUUGGACAAUGGAGGAAACUCUGAUCCAGCAAUCCUGUGUGUGUGAAGAAGGUUUUAGGACUGUAAAACACUUUUAGUAGGGAAGAAAAAAAUGACGGUACCUAUAGAAGAAGCAACGGCUAAAUACGUGCCAGCAGCCGCGGUAAUACGUAUGUUGCGAGCGUUAUCCGGAAUUAUUGGGCUUAAAGGGCAUCUAGGCGGUAAGACAAGUUGAAGGUGAAAACCUGUGGCUCAACCAUAGGCUUGCCUACAAAACUGUUGAACUAGAGUACUGGAAAGGUGGGUGGAACUACACGAGUAGAGGUGAAAUUCGUAGAUAUGUGUAGGAAUGCCGAUGAUGAAGAUAACUCACUGGACAGAAACUAACGCUGAAGUGCGAAAGAUAGGGGAGCAAACAAG
Molecule: ribosomal RNA, 407 nt
Filed under: Verrucomicrobiota bacterium
Lineage: Bacteria; Pseudomonadati; Verrucomicrobiota
Description: Verrucomicrobia bacterium partial 16S ribosomal RNA
Rfam family: Bacterial small subunit ribosomal RNA
Source: RNAcentral